Molecule: long non-coding RNA, 793 nt
Organism: Rhipicephalus microplus (southern cattle tick)
Lineage: Eukaryota; Metazoa; Arthropoda; Arachnida; Ixodida; Ixodidae
Source: RefSeq, a predicted model, not a curated record
CCGCCAUCGCAGUUUUUUUAGCACGUGUGCUUUGCGGGAGCAGUCCUAUUUUCAAGCAGGUCAAGACCUGCUAUCAAAUCUACUACAAACUGCGAGCGAUAACAGCCGAAGCGACUCGAGCAAAUUUGCCCAUUUUGAGGAGAAGUAUUCGACAGAAGCACGGGGAAGUGACAAGCACAAUGGGUGGUCUCUGUUCCUGCUGCACGCCUUCGCUGUCGGAAGUGGACGAGCGGCCAGUGCUUGAAUCACGUUCAGAAGCAAUAGCCGCUGAGCCAGUGUACCGACCCAUCGCGUCCAACAUACCGGCCUUUAAUCAACCACCACUAGUGCCAAAAGGGCAGGCGUUAUCACCCCCAGCCCUGGAUCAACGACAUCAACCCGAAGCAUCGAGGGCGUGGUUAAUGACUUUCAGUGAGAAGGUACCGGUAUCCUGCUCUGGAGACUUUGUACAGCAGCGCUCUUCGUCUCAAGCCGAACCUAACAAGAUAGAGGGGCCUUUGAUAGUUUCGACCCCUCAGCUCGGAGGCCCCAGCGGCUGCUAAGACAUCCUAGCCACGUCUGGCUUUUAUAAGAGGUUCUGGCCCUGCUAUUAAGACUAACGCUUCGGUCUAAAUGUUCAUCUCCUGCAUAUUCAGUCUUCACUACGCAGCACCUCUGCUUUUCUUUUAAAUAAUGCGCGACCUGCUGUGUGGCUUUCAAACAAUGUACAUAUAUACACAAAGUAGAGUGCGCAUGUUUUUCGAACGCUUCUGCUACCCCUAUUGAUGGAAUAAAGCUUUGAUUUUAGCCUUCA